This 1076-nucleotide ribosomal RNA is filed under the name Phialocephala sp. 7. RNAcentral describes it as "SSU rRNA". It matches the Rfam family "Eukaryotic small subunit ribosomal RNA", at positions 20 to 1104 of the family's 1831-position model. Lineage: Eukaryota; Fungi; Ascomycota; Leotiomycetes; Helotiales; Mollisiaceae. The record is from RNAcentral.
GUAGUCAUAUGCUUGUCUCAAAGAUUAAGCCAUGCAUGUCUAAGUAUAAGCAAUAUAUACCGUGAAACUGCGAAUGGCUCAUUAAAUCAGUUAUCGUUUAUUUGAUAGUACCUUACUACUUGGAUAACCGUGGUAAUUCUAGAGCUAAUACAUGCUAAAAACCUCGACUUCGGAAGGGGUGUAUUUAUUAGAUAAAAAACCAAUGCCCUUCGGGGCUCCUUGGUGAUUCAUAAUAACUUAACGAAUCGCAUGGCCUUGUGCCGGCGAUGGUUCAUUCAAAUUUCUGCCCUAUCAACUUUCGAUGGUAUGGUCUUGGCUUACCAUGGUUUCAACGGGUAACGGGGAAUUAGGGUUCUAUUCCGGAGAGGGAGCCUGAGAAACGGCUACCACAUCCAAGGAAGGCAGCAGGCGCGCAAAUUACCCAAUCCCGACACGGGGAGGUAGUGACAAUAAAUACUGAUACAGGGCUCUUUUGGGUCUUGUAAUUGGAAUGAGUACAAUUUAAAUCCCUUAACGAGGAACAAUUGGAGGGCAAGUCUGGUUCCAGCAGCCGCGGUAAUUCCAGCUCCAAUAGCGUAUAUUAAAGUUGUUGCAGUUAAAAAGCUCGUAGUUGAACCUUGGGCCUGGCUGGCCGGUCCGCCUCACCGCGUGCACUGGUCCGGCCGGGCCUUUCCUUCUGAGGAGCCGCAUGCCCUUCACUGGGUGUGUCGGGGAAUCAGGACUUUUACUUUGAAAAAAUUAGAGUGUUCAAAGCAGGCCUAUGCUCGAAUACAUUAGCAUGGAAUAAUAGAAUAGGACGUGUGGUUCUAUUUUGUUGGUUUCUAGGACCGCCGUAAUGAUUAAUAGGGAUAGUCGGGGGCAUCAAUAUUAAAUUGUCAGAGGUGAAAUUCUUGGAUUUAUUUAAGAUUAACUACUGCGAAAGCAUUUGCCAAGGAUGUUUUCAUUAAUCAGUGAACGAAAGUUAGGGGAUCGAAGACGAUUAGAUACCGUCGUAGUCUUAACCAUAAACUAUGCCGACUAGGGAUCGGGCGAUGUUAUCUUUUUGACUCGCUCGGCACCUUACGAGAAAUCAAAGU